UACGUAGGUGGCAAGCGUUGUCCGGAAUUAUUGGGCGUAAAGCGCGCGCCGGUGGUUUCUUAAGUCUGAUGUGAAAGCCCACGGCUCAACCGUGGAGGGUCAUUGGAAACUGGGGAACUUGAGUGCAGGAGAGAAGAGUGGAAUUCCACGUGUAGCGGUGAAAUGCGUAGAGAUGUGGAGGAACACCAGUGGCGAAGGCGACUCUUUGGCCUGUAACUGACACUGAGGCGCGAAAGCGUGGGGAGCAAACAGG
RNAcentral lists this ribosomal RNA (253 nucleotides) under uncultured bacterium. Its description in RNAcentral is "partial 16S ribosomal RNA". It matches the Rfam family "Bacterial small subunit ribosomal RNA", at positions 524 to 776 of the family's 1533-position model. The record is from RNAcentral.